CAGUAGCCGCGGGAAUACGUAGGUGGCAAGCGUUGUCCGGAAUCAUUGGGCGUAAAGGGAGCGCAGGCGGGCAUGUAAGUCUUUCUUAAAAGUGCGGGGCUCAACCCCGUGAUGGGAAAGAAACUACAUGUCUUGAGUACAGGAGAGGAAAGCGGAAUUCCCAGUGUAGCGGUGAAAUGCGUAGAUAUUGGGAGGAACACCAGUGGCGAAGGCGGCUUUCUGGACUGCAACUGACGCUGAGGCUCGAAAGCCAGGGGAGCGAACGGGAUUAGAUACCCGAGUAGUCCCUGUCUCUUAUACA
RNAcentral lists this ribosomal RNA (301 nucleotides) under uncultured bacterium. Its description in RNAcentral is "partial 16S ribosomal RNA". It matches the Rfam family "Bacterial small subunit ribosomal RNA", at positions 509 to 809 of the family's 1533-position model. The record is from RNAcentral.